AGUGAACGCUGGCGGUAGGCCUAACACAUGCAAGUCGAACGGCAGCACAGUAAGAGCUUGCUCUUACGGGUGGCGAGUGGCGGACGGGGGAGGAAUACAUCGGAAUCUACUUUUUCGUGGGGGCUAAUGUAGGGAAACUUACGCUAAUACCGCAUACGACCUACGGGUGUAAGCAGGGGAUCGUCGGACCUUGCGCGAUGGGAUGAGCCGAAGUCGGAUUAGCUAGUUGGCAGGGUAAAGGCCCACCAAGGCGACGAUCCGUAGCUGGUCUGAGAGGAUGAUCAGCCACACUGGGACUGAGACACGGCCCAGACUCCUACGGGAGGCAGCAGUGGGGAAUAUUGGACAAUGGGCGAAAGCCUGAUCCAGCAAUGCCGCGUGAGUGAUGAAGGCCUUAGGGUUGUAAAGCUCUUUUACCCGGGAUGAUAAUGACAGUACCGGGAGAAUAAGCUCCGGCUAACUCCGUG
RNAcentral lists this ribosomal RNA (467 nucleotides) under uncultured bacterium. Its description in RNAcentral is "partial 16S ribosomal RNA". It matches the Rfam family "Bacterial small subunit ribosomal RNA", at positions 29 to 507 of the family's 1533-position model. The record is from RNAcentral.